CGUGGUUGCAACGGAAGAAAAAUUGACACGUAUUCAAUUUUUUUGAGAAUUGUAUGUGCAUCAAAAUUUUGAUUCCAGUUUCUGCACAUGUCAUAUUUUGGUAUUUGCUUUGCCCGUUAAUUAUUGUUAGGCCGGAAGUAAUUUAAUAUGCAAGUGCAUGUUAAUCCAAGGGCGCUACCAAUUAUUAUUGCAUGCACAUCAGGAUGUAAAAUCGGUGCCAGCAAAAUACACCUCUGUCGGUUCUGCCCUGGUUUGGCCGGUAUCUUUCCUUCCUCCUUGUUGUGGAGUGCACCCGAUCUGAUUCUAAUAAUCCUCCCCUGCUCAUGUGGCUCGUUUGGUCAGCGUGGUCGCCGCGUGUGAAGUCUGGUGGCUUCGUGUGACAUCCCGAGCAGUGCUUAGCGACGCGUGCACGUACUGUCUGGUGUGCUUACACGUGGUCUAUUUUUAUCCUUUGUAAAAGCCUGAAUCUUCAUCUCGUUUUCAGUUUCCCUUGCACAAAAUAGUCUCCCAUAUACCAGGCGCCCGAGCAGCGAGAGUGCUCGCAGGAGCUCGAACCCGACCCCCCGCACGGAGAUCUGAAGCAGCAGCAGGACCUCGCCGGACGUAGCAGCUGCACCACAAGUCCAAACAAUGGCGCCGCCCUCAUGAAACAUGGAAGCAGAGGCUAACCCUUGCGGCGGCGGCGGCGUGUCUUUCCAGUGCUCCCCCUUGCGGCCUUCCCAGACUUGGUGUUCGCUUGGUGUUGGUGGACAGUCGAGGAGGACCAUCUCCCGCACUGGCCUCCCCUGGACGCGCGCAGCCGGCGGCUCCGUCGGGUUCAGCGGUGGUCGCGACUCACGAGGCGACUCGAGCAGCAGCUCGAACGCACACAGUGCCUCCCCGUCGGCCCGGUACGCCGCCCGAGCGGGAGGCACCAGCGGACCGGAGAGUCGAGUAGUAGCACGCCCCAGCGGCAGCACUGGGCGGCAGCAGCCUCAUGCCUAGGAUAGGGGCACACGGCAGGUGCGGCGCAGCUGCAAUUCAGGGGCGGUAGCAGUUCUCGGCCGCAUCCAUGGCAGCCGCCGUGGCGUGCUCCUACUCGCGCGGCUGGUCCAUGGCUGUCGGCGCAUCGCAGGACAGGGACGACAGCAGUUCUAGGACGCAUCCAUGGCCGACGGCGCGCGGCAGGGCGGGAGCGGCAGGGCGGGGGCGGCAGGGCGGCGUGCUCCUACUGGUGCUGCCGAUGCGGGCAAGGGAAGAGAGGAAUCAGGAGAGGUGCUCACGGGCGGCGCAAAUCGUCUCCUCGGUGGCCAAGGGGCUCGCCGGGGCGGAAGGGAAGGCCGGCUGCAGGGCGAACUAGUAGGGGGCGCCGAGGGGAUCCGUUCCCGUGAGCGGCAUCCCGAGGAAGGCGCUGGAGUUGGCCAGAAUCGGGCGGUCAAUGGAAGGACGGGGGGCGCCGCCAUUGAAGCGAGGGGAUCGAAGGUCGAGGAGGCCCUCCGUGUAGGAUCUAGGACCAUCGCGGACGCUGCGGCGGCGCGCCCAAGCUCGGGCGCACCACUACAGGGCGGAGGGCCGGCGAGGGCCAGGCGGCGGGAGGAACGGCGGGGAGAGCACGAGUAAGUCCUGCGCCGCCGCGACUGGAGACGGAGCAGGGGUUAAUUUGUAAAACCGAAUCGUUUAUUUAGAUAUCACUUAAAGAGGGACUGCGGGUAUAAUUUUCAGAAAACGGAAGGAUGUUUUUG
This is a long non-coding RNA of Triticum aestivum (bread wheat), 1721 nucleotides long. RefSeq lists it as uncharacterized. NCBI's taxonomy places the organism in Eukaryota, Viridiplantae, Streptophyta, Magnoliopsida, Poales, Poaceae. The record is from RefSeq and is a predicted model, not a curated record. The transcript has 2 exons.